UCAAGAGUGGGACACAACCAACUGAGCCAUUCAAGUGCCCCUACAAAUGCUAAUUUUUAUAAUUAUCAAUACUGAAUUUAUGCUGAAAAAUAUCCAGGUUGGAAAUGUUUGAGAGCUGAAGGAAACCUGUAGCUCUGAUUAGAAUGAACUUAGAUUAUACAGAAGGCCUGCCCUACAAUUAUACAUGUGCCGACAUUAAAACUCAGAGAAGCAGCAGCCCAUGGUACAAGGACUAAGUGGUAGCUUAAUAUAAUAUAAUAUAAUGGAAACCAUAUGGUGCAUGGGCAGGCAGCCCCUUGCCGUGGAUACUACGUUGUUCUCACCACAUUAAUAUACACACUGAAGAUCAACCAAGGGAGAUGACGACACCAAGAAUCAGAGCAGUGAUGUGACCUUCCAAGUUAACAACAGAGAGAAGUGAUAGAAAGGCAAUGAGAAUUCAAAUUAUAACUACCAAGGUAGUAUUUUUUUUCUCUACCUGAUGAGACCACAGUUUCUCCAAUUCCAUAAACCUACCUCAUUCAAGAAGGGCAGACAAUGGGCUCAUAAAAUCAAUAAACUACAGUCUUUGGUGGGAGUUGACAAACUUUUUCUGUGUGGGGCCAGGUAGUAAUAUUUUAGGCUUUGUGGACCAUGUGGUCUCUGUAACAGUUACUCAGUUCCGCCUUGUAGUAUGAAAGAAGCCAUAGACAAUAUGUAUGUAAACAAAUAGCUGAGUUCCAAUAAAACUUUAUUUUCCAAAAAACAAAAAAAGGAGGCAA
Long non-coding RNA from Leopardus geoffroyi (Geoffroy's cat), 761 nucleotides. RefSeq lists it as uncharacterized. The record is from RefSeq and is a predicted model, not a curated record. The transcript has 4 exons. NCBI's taxonomy places the organism in Eukaryota, Metazoa, Chordata, Mammalia, Carnivora, Felidae.